UUUUAUUAUAAUUUUUAAGAUCAUCGAUGACGAAUUUUAUGACGAUAAGAAGAAUGCUAUAGUGAAAAAGUAACAUAUUUGCUCAUGUACGGACGAACGGCAAUGAUCGAUAGAACGAACGUUUGAAAACUUCGUCGACGGUAAUCGAAGGUAAAAACAGCUGUUCGUAAAUACGUCAAUGCAAACGUAUUCUCUCGAUUCGUUGAUAAUCUCUAUUCGGCGACAAAAAAAAGACCGUGCAAAGUUCUUCGUCUGACUCCCCGAGGUAUGUACAUAUAUACACACGUAUUUCAUUUACAUAAUUCAAAAGGACUCCUUUUAAGAAGCAGCCAGAUGGUAAAUACACUCGUAUGGAUAUGAAUCCAAUUAGUUAUUUGAUCGUCAACUUUUCGCCAAGCAUCUGUCUGUACAAUUGAUAAGAAACGACGAUGAUCGACGAGACGUUUUCUUUAAGAAUAUUUCAAGGUGAAUUAAACGAAAAUGUUUAAUAAAAUUUGUAUCGUUUUCGAAUAUCAAGAUUGUUAGAUAUAUCUGCACUUCCGGUUAAAUUUUCCAGAGAAUUUUAUCGUUUUGACUAUGACGAUGACGAUGAUGAUGAUGAUAAUGAUGAUAAUAAUAUGAUGAAAAAUCAAGGGAGAGGGUGGAGUCUUGUGAGUGCACGAGCGAAUACGAGUUUUCGUGCGUGGUCAUCUACUCUGUGGCCAAAGAUAGACUCUGACAUCAUACACGCGAGCAUCGCUUGGCCCGAAGGAGCGAUAAACAGAGGAACGCGAGCGCGCAACGUACGACUCUUUAACGAACAAGUCGAAGGUCGUCAGAAAAGUGCAUUGCCCAUACAUUUUUACGGUGCUUAUACGCGUCACGAAACAGAUUCCCAAAAUAGACACUCUCCUUUUUUCGUAAGUACCUCUCUGUAAGCACUUUAAGAUUAUUUUCGAAUCUUUUCGAUACGUUCGUAGAGCACGAUCACAACCGAUAUGUUUGACUCAUGAUCGCAUUUAUCACAUCGAUAGAGAAACCUUCGAGAGGGAACAGGAACUUGCGAGCGACGACCGCCAAGGCAAGCAAGACACGUAUUCCUCUUUCUUUGUUCUAACAAGACGAUCGGUGAUCCUUGCUACGAUGUCCUUCCGGAAAUUUAAAAUAAAUCAUUCUAUGGUUCGAUAUUAAUCUAUUAUAUUUUGUCAACAUCAUGUAUGCGACGAAGAUCUCUAUAAUUUUUGAAAAUA
This is a long non-coding RNA of Vespula vulgaris, 1229 nucleotides long. RefSeq lists it as uncharacterized. The transcript is spliced from 3 exons. The record is from RefSeq and is a predicted model, not a curated record. NCBI's taxonomy places the organism in Eukaryota, Metazoa, Arthropoda, Insecta, Hymenoptera, Vespidae.